AUGCAAGUGCAGGCGGCCGCUACCAUACGGCUUUGUCUUGGGGAUCAGGUCAUGUAUCAUGUCAUGGACGAAGAUUCUCCUAAGGGAAUUGGGGACAAGUUGGCAAAUCGUUAUAUGUCCAAGUCGGUGACCAAUAAGCUGUAUUUGAAGCAAAAGUUUUAUGGGCUGAAGAUGCAGGAGGGGUCAGAUCUUGUGGAGUAUAUGAACGCCUUUAAUCAAGUCGUGACGGACCUAGCACACUUGGGUGCGACGGUUGACGACGAGGAUAGGGCAAUUCUGCUUCUUUGUUCAUUGCCAUCAUCCUAUGACCAUUUGAUCACUACUUUGACGCACGACAAGGAGACCGUCAAGAACGAGGAUAUUAUUGUGGCAUUGCUAUCUUAUGAUAUGAGAAAGAAGAACGCGGUGGAAGUCUCUCAUGGUGAAGGUUUGCUAGUCAAAGGUGAAGAGUGGCAGAAGGGAUAUGAGGCUGGGAAGAACAAGAAAAAGAAAAGGAAUAUACAAUGUCACAAGUGUAAGCAGUGGGGACAUAUGAGAAAGGAUUGUCCAGUACUCAAUGGUGGGGCAAGUGCUAAUAAGGCAACUCAUGGUGAUGACUCAGACAACAGUACUGGUGUUCUCGUAGUAUCAGACAGGCGGUCAACCAAAAGUGAAGCGUGGAUGUUGGAUCCAGCUUGCUCUUUUCAUGCGACGCCCAACAAGGGAGUGGUUCUCUUCGUACAAGUCUCGUGA
This 732-nucleotide ribosomal RNA is filed under the name Triticum aestivum (bread wheat). RNAcentral's name for it is "partial small subunit ribosomal RNA". The record is from RNAcentral. Lineage: Eukaryota; Viridiplantae; Streptophyta; Magnoliopsida; Poales; Poaceae.